This 248-nucleotide unclassified non-coding RNA is filed under the name Lophiostomataceae sp. Its description in RNAcentral is "partial contains 5.8S ribosomal RNA, internal transcribed spacer 2, and large subunit ribosomal RNA". The record is from RNAcentral. Lineage: Eukaryota; Fungi; Ascomycota; Dothideomycetes; Pleosporales; Lophiostomataceae.
CGCACAUUGCGCCCUUUGGUAUUCCUUAGGGCAUGCCUGUUCGAGCGUCAUUUCGACCUUCAAGCUCAGCUUGGUGAUGGGUGCCUGUCCCGCCUCUUUUGCGCGAGGACUCGCCUUAAAAGCAGUUGGCAGCUUCUUCUCCAGCCCCAAACGCAGCAGAAUGCGCUGAAGCGAGGGGGAGAGGCUUUCCAGUAAGCACUUUUUGCACGGUUGACCUCGGAUCAGGUAGGGAUACCCGCUGAACUUAA